CGACUGUUCAGUUUCCUAAAGCAGGUGCCCUCCACAAGUCGAUUAAGACGUUGCUGCUUGAUCAGUUCUAAGAUCUCAGGCUGAAUCUUCUCUUUCAGUUCCAGAAUUGGACGAGACUGGAAAUCUUCCUGGUUCAUUCUUUCAGACUGGCGUAUUUUCAGUAUUUCUGUGUAACUGAGAUUCUGAAGCUUACUCUUGAACUGAUCCAGUGAGCUAGGCUUGGUAGUGAGCGCUCUCAUUAUCUGUUCUUUCACUACCUGCAUUACCUUAUUGAAGUCCUCUGAAGUUGCCCUCAUUUCCUUCCAUGUCUUGUUCAAGAGCUGAAUGCAGAUACAGAAGAACUCCUCAAACGAUCUGUCAUGUGUGAAGAACAUGGGAUGGAAAUCGUUGCACGUCUCACUGGGUAGCUCUCCUACUUUCAGUAUUUCACACAGCAUCUUGGUGAGCU
This 448-nucleotide long non-coding RNA is filed under the name Gallus gallus (chicken). The record is from RNAcentral. Lineage: Eukaryota; Metazoa; Chordata; Aves; Galliformes; Phasianidae.